UGGGGAAUAUUGCACAAUGGGCGCAAGCCUGAUGCAGCCAUGCCGCGUGUGUGAAGAAGGCCUUCGGGUUGUAAAGCACUUUCAGCGAGGAGGAAGGUGGUGGACUUAAUACGUUCAUCAAUUGACGUUACUCGCAGAAGAAGCACCGGCUAACUCCGUGCCAGCAGCCGCGGUAAUACGGAGGGUGCAAGCGUUAAUCGGAAUUACUGGGCGUAAAGCGCACGCAGGCGGUUUGUUAAGUCAGAUGUGAAAUCCCCGGGCUCAACCUGGGAACUGCAUUUGAAACUGGCAAGCUAGAGUCUCGUAGAGGGGGGUAGAAUUCCAGGUGUAGCGGUGAAAUGCGUAGAGAUCUGGAGGAAUACCGGUGGCGAAGGCGGCCCCCCUGGACGAAGGCUGACGCUCAGGUGCGAAAGCGUGGGGGCAGCAAACAGGAUUAGAUACCCUGGUAGUCCACGCUGUAAACGAUGUCGAUUUGGAGGUUGUGCCCCUUGAGGCGUGGCUUCCGGAGCUAACGCGUUAAAUCGACCGCC
Molecule: ribosomal RNA, 530 nt
Filed under: uncultured bacterium
Lineage: Bacteria
Description: partial 16S ribosomal RNA
Rfam family: Bacterial small subunit ribosomal RNA
Source: RNAcentral